AAUGAAUCAGAAUAACAAUAAUACUCUCUUAUGGUACUGAUUGUAAAAGAAGUGUACAAUAACCCAACAACAUAUUAAAAUGAACCAGAAUAAAACAUUAGUACACACUACAAAACUGACAGCCAAAGAGCAAAAUCUACAACAAUAAUGUGAUGCUGUGAAUUCAAGUUGUCAUGCUAACCACAUUGGAAAAUACCCACAAUCUACAAUAUUGUGUUUACUUUUAGCUAACCGAUUCACAGUAUCAGUAGUAGUUGUAAAAGGUUUGCCCAGGAAAGCCUCAGACACAAGGAACAAGACUUAGCACCAAUACCAUGAUUAGGUAAGUGACCUACCUGAGGUGCACACUUUAUUGCCUAGCCUAAGCACUUUUUUUCCAGGCACAAAAAUGGCAAAACUUUGUUAUAUUUUGACUAACCAUUUAUUUUUAUAUCUGUUUUAUGUUAUUUAAACUGAAAUAUUGAAAUUAAGGCUAGGUAUUAGUUUAUGGUAUGUUGCAAUACACCCAAUAAAUUAAAUGCAACAAAAAAAGGUCAAUGAUUAUCUUGUUGUUUUGAUGUUUUCAAUUAGCAAAGAGAAAUGGAAAUAAGGCAAGAAGCAGAACAUGAACCAAAUAAAGGUUUAAAGAGUACUUCAACCAAGUUAAUACUCUUUCUCUCUCUUAUCUUAAUAUCUUCAUCCAUCUCUAUUUCUCAGUACGACCACCCUCUAGAGUUCAACCAUGAUAAAACUGGUGUUGAAUUUUGGAUCAUAAUAAAUAUACGUGUAUAUCCUUAAAUAGUGGAUAGGUUUGCAAAAAGUUUGUUAUGAUUUGUGAUUGUGAAUAAAUAAGAAUUCAUCAAAAGGGCAAUCUGCGGCUUAAUUGAGUUGCUGCUGUCUAUUUUAUUGAAUAAAUAAGAAUUUUUCAAUAAAGCUUAGACAAUUAUGCAAAAUAGAUGACAACAAACAGAAAAAGAAAGACCAAGGGCAAACCUCAUAAUCA
RNAcentral lists this unclassified non-coding RNA (982 nucleotides) under Hevea brasiliensis (rubber tree). Lineage: Eukaryota; Viridiplantae; Streptophyta; Magnoliopsida; Malpighiales; Euphorbiaceae. The record is from RNAcentral.